Molecule: unclassified non-coding RNA, 296 nt
Filed under: Leotiomycetes sp.
Lineage: Eukaryota; Fungi; Ascomycota; Leotiomycetes
Description: partial contains small subunit ribosomal RNA, internal transcribed spacer 1, and 5.8S ribosomal RNA
Source: RNAcentral
AAGUCGUAACAAGGUUUCCGUAGGUAUGUAAAACUUCUGCCCCCUAAUCUUGUAAUAUCAGAUAACUAACAACAUUCUAGGUGAACCUGCGGAAGGAUCAUUACCGAGUCCUCCUGUUUUGCAGGAACUCCCACCCGUGAAUCCAACUCGUUGCUUCGGCAAGACGUUGGAAACAGCCAUUGACAUUGAAACCAAUGUCGAUGCGUGCUUGCCGGAGUCAAUAUACUCUUCAAUAUAUAUAGUCAGAGAAAACAAGCAAUAUAUAAAAACUUUCAACAACGGAUCUCUUGGUUUUG